CUACGGGAGGCACCAGUGAGGAAUAUUGCACAAUGGGGGGAACCCUGAUGCAGCAACGCCGCGUGGAGGAUGACGCAUUUCGGUGUGUAAACUCCUUUUAUAUGUCAAGAAAAUGACGGUAGCAUAUGAAUAAGCACCGGCUAACUCCGUGCCAGCAGCCGCGGUAAUACGGAGGGUGCAAGCGUUACUCGGAAUCACUGGGCGUAAAGGACGCGUAGGCGGGCUUGUAAGUCAGGUGUGAAAUCCUACAGCUUAACUGUAGAACUGCACUUGAAACUACGAGCCUAGAGUAUGGGAGGGGGAGAUGGAAUUAGUGGUGUAGGGGUAAAAUCCGUAGAUAUCACUAGGAAUACCUAAAGCGAAGGCGAUCUCCUGGAACAUAACUGACGCUAAGGCGUGAAAGCGUGGGGAGCAAACAGGAUUAGAUACCCUAGUAGUC
This 439-nucleotide ribosomal RNA is filed under the name uncultured bacterium. RNAcentral describes it as "partial 16S ribosomal RNA". It matches the Rfam family "Bacterial small subunit ribosomal RNA", at positions 339 to 795 of the family's 1533-position model. The record is from RNAcentral.